GAGAGAUGGGCAUUUAUUUUCUACGAUUCCUGUACCUGAUUCAGUCCUCUGUCGAUUUCUAGCAAUCCUUCGUUCAUUGAGUACGUAAGUCAUCCUUGCAUGCUGGAAAUUUAACGAGGAUCAAGACGCGAUUCAUCUGUCACUGCUUCACAUAGAGAGGUUAAAUACUCAAAAUCAUAAGACUAUGAGGAGGAGCUGCGGCAGGGUCAAGGAGCUGGAGUAGCUAGAAGGGGGCAUAAAACGUGGCAGUCAAUAGGAGGUCCAGGGUUCUGGGAAAGAGUGGGUCUAUUUUGAGAAGUGAGGAGAUGCUACAAGUUCCCAGACCGUAGUGAGCCGUGGACACGUGUGAGACAAGCAUGUGGACCUUAUAGGUGGAGGCCAACGCACGUUACGUGGCACGUGAAAUAACAGGAUGGUGCUGGAGGAGGAGGCUGGGUCAGAGAAGCAUUGUGGUCUUGUAUUUUCAGUGGGAGGGCAUGGGUAGGCAUAGAGGAGACGGCCAUGGAGAGGCUGAGUUAAACAAUAUGGCAGAAGGGCGUCGCUGUGGUUCAGUUGGUUGAGCGUCCACCUCUUGAUUUCGGCUCAGAUCACAAUCUCACAGUCGUGGGAUCGAGUCUCACGUUGGGCUCUGCACUGAGCGUGAAGCCUGCUUAAGAUUCUCUCUCUCUUCAAAUAAAAAUGAAAUGGCAGAGAGGAAUAAAUGGAGAGACUGAAGCCUCAAGAGGCUGUUCUGUCAAAAGACACAAGUUACAAGGGUUACAAGUCCACCCGGUGCUGUCAGUGAGGAGCCCAAGGCAGGCCCCGAACCCACGAACCACGAGAUCAUGACCUGAGCUGAAACCAAGAGUUAAUCACUUAACCGCCUGAGCCACCCAGGCACCUCAGGCCAAAGCUUUAGUACAGUUCUCCCAAGCAGUGGAAGAAAGCCUCGAUGGAGUUUGAGUAUAAUCACCAUCUAAGACAAAAGGCAGCCGAUUUUGUCUUUCUCCUUGCUCAUCACGAGUGCCUUCUCGCAGAACUUCUAAAACACCACAGAUGACUUUUAUUCAUGUUUGCAGAGUCUCUUUGAAAUGGGUUUGUUUAAAAACUGCAAGAUAUUAAAGAGUUAGCCCUAUGCCUUUUAAAACCGAAACUGCGUCAGGAGCACCCAAACGACACACAUUUAACACACCUGCCCGUGGCUUAAAGAAAAAAUUCAUUCCAAGCAAAUGCUGAACACCCGCUGUUCAUAAAGCUUGCACGAACGCUGUGGAGGAGAAAAACCUUCAAGGCGUGAGGACGCUAUCAGGGAGUGAUUCUUCUAGUUGAGAAGAAAAUUCCUACACAUGUUUAUGAAACAGAUGAAUGGUUCUAAGACCAAAAAUAAUAAUCCGUAGGCAUAUGUGUGUAUAGACCUCUAUUACACGUAUAUUACAUAUAUAUGUAUUCUUAACCAUUUUUCCUCCCUGAUCCUGUUCCUGAAUACUCAGAUCGUUGUAGGCUGGGUGAGUGGGGGAAGGCUUUUUGAAGUAGGUAAGUUGUUCUUUGUGUUGAAGGGAGUGCAGAAUUUAGGUUGGCGGGAAGGAAAAUAAAGCUCAAGAAUGGGGAAGAGCCCAUGGGCGAGAAGCACAGGGUACAAGGAACAGAGAGGGAGAAGUGAGAGCCAGUUCAUGAAGAGCCUUGACUUGCUGGAAUAAAGGUUUGAAGUUUGAUUUGGUAAGUGUGUAAAAGCUGUAGUGAGGUCUUUCUUCCUCUGUUGAUUCGCCCAGCUUUUUAUUCAUUAACUUGGACAUUGAUUUAUCAGCUCGGCAAAUAUUUAUUAAGCACCUAGGAUAGAUCAAGCUCUCUCUUACAGGCCUGGAGCGGUGGUCCUCAACCAGGGGCCCUGGUUUCUCUCCCCCCAGGAGGCCACGGGCAAUGUCUGGAGAUGGUUUUAGUUGUCACACUGGGGAUGGGGUGCUACUUGCAUUUAGGGAGUGGGGGUCAGGGAUGAUUCCCACAACAAGGAAUUUUCCAGCCCCGGAUGUCAAUGGUGCUGCUGUUGAGAAACCCUGGGCUAGAAGGUACAAAUGUCAGAGAUAAAGUCCUUGCCCUCUAGGGUUACGAGGGGGAGGGGACACCGUAAACUAAUAAUUCCAGCACACUAAGGUCCACAGUGAAAAGAGUACUGGGUUAUUUUGAAAGGGCAGGACACUAUGCCAUCAAUUCUGUGUGGGGUUGGAAAGAUUUCUGGAAGAAAGUCACAUUGGAGAUGAACCUUCAAAGAUGAGUACAAGAUUUUAUUUCCGCAUCUGGGCUCUGUUCUAAAUCCUGGGAGGAUUUUCCCCCAUGAAUUUAACAUGACUGACGAAGCCUGCUCCAGGGGCUCCGCUGCUGCAUAUGGCCAGGAGAGCGUGCGAGUGAGCGGUACAGGGUGGAGGAGAGCGACAAGGCUACCAUUUGUAAGCUUCUUCAAGGGCCGUUCCUACACGUGUGGAACGAUGCUCACGCGCGCUGGGCAGGUACGGCCCUUAGAGUCAAGGCAGCACCUUCCGGAAUGGUACUCAGGUUAUCUAUUCGAGUCCAGCUCCCUACCGUGUCUGACCAUGGCCUUCCUGGGUUUUAGGUAUUCUAUAAGCUCUACCAAAGCAAGUGUAACCUCCACAAAUGAACCAGUUACACUGGAAAAGGAAACUGGAAGCAGAAUUAUAAACCUCAGUGCCUCCUCUUUCCCCUCUCUGUAGGAGAACGCGUAAGGUGUCCGUACGUAAGGUAUAGAACAUAGUAUCUAGUCUGGGGGAGCCAUGACCUCCCCUCACCUGGGUUUGGUUCCAGACCACUGCACAAGAAAGGGAAUAUCACAAUCAA
Leopardus geoffroyi (Geoffroy's cat) is the source of this 2826-nucleotide RNA transcript. RefSeq lists it as uncharacterized. NCBI's taxonomy places the organism in Eukaryota, Metazoa, Chordata, Mammalia, Carnivora, Felidae. The record is from RefSeq and is a predicted model, not a curated record. The transcript has 4 exons.